UACGUAGGGAGCAAGCGUUGUCCGGAAUCACUGGGCGUAAAGGGCGCGUAGGUGGUUUGAUAAGGGUGUGGUGAAAGUCCGGAGCUCAACUCCGGAUCGGCCGUGCGGACUGGGGAGCUCGAGUUCUGUAGAGGCGGGUGGAAUUCCGGGUGUAGCGGUGGAAUGCGUAGAGAUCCGGAAGAACACCGGUGGCGAAGGCGGCCCGCUGGGCAGAGACUGACGCUGAGGCGCGACAGCGUGGGGAGCAAACAGG
RNAcentral lists this ribosomal RNA (253 nucleotides) under uncultured bacterium. Its description in RNAcentral is "partial 16S ribosomal RNA". It matches the Rfam family "Bacterial small subunit ribosomal RNA", at positions 524 to 776 of the family's 1533-position model. The record is from RNAcentral.